GCGCGCUCGACCCGGCAGACAGGACAGCAGUGCCUGUGGCCAACCCUCAGCAGCAGGGUCGGGGUCUGGCGCGC
This is a non-coding RNA of Macrostomum lignano, 74 nucleotides long. The record is from Rfam. NCBI's taxonomy places the organism in Eukaryota, Metazoa, Platyhelminthes, Macrostomidae.